UUACUAGCUCUAAUAAAGAAGUUAACUUUUACUCAACUAUGGAAUGGGAAUUAUGUAAAUACUCCCAGCAAGUAACAUUAAACAAUACUAGAAAUAGUAAUUUAGUUAAGUAAUAAUUAUGGGGCCAAUCAGGUGCCAGCAGCCGCGGUCAUACCUGAGCAUAAGUUAACUCCCUUAGAAUAGACCUUACAAAUCAAUUAAAAAAAGCUAGUGAAAUAGGUUUUUUAUUGACCCUAACUUGUAAAUGUAGUCCAAACUCUGUAAAUAAACUAGGAUUAGAUACCCUAUUAUAAAUGAGUACAAAGUAUUUCUAAGCACUAAAGCUAUAUAGCUAAAACUUAAAGAGCAUGGCGGCAAACUUUAGCCUCAGGGGAACUUACCUGAUAAUAGAUAACCCACAAGACUUUCUACUUACCCUCUUAGUUUGUAUACCGCCGUCUUCAGGGCUUACUUAAGGUAGGCACCAAAAAUGAAAAACAAAUAAGACAGGUCAUGGUGCAGCUUAUGGGUAAGUCAAGGCGAGUUACAAUAUUCAAUUUUCCAGACCUGAAAAAAAAUCUUUUUAGAAAAGAUGGACUUGAAAGUAAAUUUUAUAUAAAAUAAAAAUUGAAUCUUCACAAAGUUUGUGCACAAAUCGCCCGUCACUCUCGUUGAAAAAGGAGAUAAGUCGUAACACAGUAGGGCUAACGGAAGUUGGCCC
RNAcentral lists this ribosomal RNA (700 nucleotides) under Lactiforis takii. RNAcentral describes it as "12S ribosomal RNA". Lineage: Eukaryota; Metazoa; Mollusca; Gastropoda; Amphibolidae. The record is from RNAcentral.